RNAcentral lists this ribosomal RNA (816 nucleotides) under uncultured bacterium. Its description in RNAcentral is "bacterial SSU rRNA". It matches the Rfam family "Bacterial small subunit ribosomal RNA", at positions 636 to 1451 of the family's 1533-position model. The record is from RNAcentral.
UNUGACUUGAGUGCAGAAGGGGAGAGUGGAAUUCCAUGUGUAGCGGUGAAAUGCGUAGAUAUAUGGAGGAACACCAGUGGCGAAAGCGGCUCUCUGNUCUGUCACUGACGCUGAGGCUCGAAAGCGUGGGUAGCGAACAGGAUUAGAUACCCUGGUAGUCCACGCCGUAAACGAUGAGCGCUAGGUGUUAGGCCCUUUCCGGGGCUUAGUGCCGGAGCUAACGCAAUAAGCACUCCGCCUGGGGAGUACGACCGCAAGGUUGAAACUCAAAGGAAUUGACGGGGGCCCGCACAAGCGGUGGAGCAUGUGGUUUAAUUCGAAGCAACGCGAAGAACCUUACCAGGUCUUGACAUCCCGAUGCUAUUCUUAGAGAUAGGAAGUUACUUCGGUACAUCGGAGACAGGUGGUGCAUGGUUGUCGUCAGCUCGUGUCGUGAGAUGUUGGGUUAAGUCCCGCAACGAGCGCAACCCUUAUUGUUAGUUGCCAUCAUUAAGUUGGGCACUCUAGCGAGACUGCCGGUAAUAAACCGGAGGAAGGUGGGGAUGACGUCAAAUCAUCAUGCCCCUUAUGACCUGGGCUACACACGUGCUACAAUGGUCGGUACAACGAGUUGCGAGCCGGUGACGGCAAGCUAAUCUCUGAAAGCCGAUCUCAGUUCGGAUUGGAGGCUGCAACUCGCCUCCAUGAAGUCGGAAUCGCUAGUAAUCGCGGAUCAGCACGCCGCGGUGAAUACGUUCCCGGGCCUUGUACACACCGCCCGUCACACCACGAGAGUUUGUAACACCCGAAGUCGGUGAGGUANCCUUUUAGGGGCCA